Long non-coding RNA from Trachymyrmex cornetzi, 826 nucleotides. RefSeq lists it as uncharacterized. NCBI's taxonomy places the organism in Eukaryota, Metazoa, Arthropoda, Insecta, Hymenoptera, Formicidae. The record is from RefSeq and is a predicted model, not a curated record. The transcript is spliced from 4 exons.
AAAUUCAAAAUAAACACGAAUAAUUUGGAGUUAGCAUUUCAAGAUGGUGAAGCGAAGAACUAUACGAAAAAUUAUUGAAUGAUGAUUCGUAUGCCAUUCAAUAUGUGAAACUAAUAAUCCAAAAUGGAUUGUAUGUAAUAACCGAUGGCGGCAAGGAGAACUUAUUAAGGGAAAUAUAUCGGCUGCAAGGAGAUAGGGAAACAUUGAUAUACAACGUAAACAUUAAUGAAAAUCAGAACCUUUGAAAUGAAUAGUAUAUCGACAAAGAAAAUGAAUCUUUAACUUCAGCACUAUUCGAAGAAAGUAACAAUCCGAAAUAUGCAGAUUCUUGGACUGAUUCGGCAACUGUAUUUAUGCUAGACAAAUAUAAAUUAUACCUUUCUCAAAUAGGCCCAAUAAAAAAAUUUAAAUCGAAGAAGACAAUGUGAGCAGAGAUUUCAAAAGAAUUGCAAAAAAAUUGUAAUGUUUCAAAAACACCACUACAGGUUGAAAAUCGUUAUAAAACGGUUCUGAAACGAAAAAAGAAAUCGGUGGAAAACAAUCAUAAAUCAAGCAAUUCGCGGGAAGAAGUCCCAUUUGAAGAAGAGUUAAGAGAAAUUAGCCAAGUUGAUGAUAGCAUUGAGCCAUAAGUACUUAGAAGUGCAAAAUCUGUGAAAUACCUAAAAAAGCCUCUAGUCGAAAUCAUUUCAUCACAUCAGGAUUCAAAUACUACGACGUAAGAAAAAACGCCAAAGAUUCUCCUCCAAAGAAAAAGUGUAAAUUCAGCAAUGAAGAAUGAAAAUUAGAAUUAUUUAAACAACAAGAGGAGGCGAAGGAAAGGAGACAC